RNAcentral lists this small nuclear RNA (188 nucleotides) under Dasypus novemcinctus (nine-banded armadillo). RNAcentral describes it as "U2 spliceosomal RNA (ENSDNOG00000045833.1)". It matches the Rfam family "U2 spliceosomal RNA". Rfam says of the family: U2 is a small nuclear RNA (snRNA) component of the spliceosome (involved in pre-mRNA splicing). Complementary binding between U2 snRNA (in an area lying towards the 5' end but 3' to hairpin I) and the branchpoint sequence (BPS) of the intron results the bulging out of an unpaired adenosine, on the BPS, which initiates a nucleophilic attack at the intronic 5' splice site, thus starting the first of two transesterification reactions that mediate splicing. Lineage: Eukaryota; Metazoa; Chordata; Mammalia; Cingulata; Dasypodidae. The record is from RNAcentral.
AUCACUUCUGGGUCUUUUGGCAAAGAUCAAGUGUAGUAUCUGUUCUUAUCUGUUUAAUCUCUGGUAUGUCCUCUAUCUAAGGACUAUAUAUUAAGCAGAUUUUUGGAGCUAGGAGAUGGAAUAGGAGCCUAUGCUGUCCACUCAACACAGUUACCUGUACUGCAGUACUUCUGGGAAUGGUAUACACC